CUAAUUAUAACUUUUUAUGUUAUGAAGUUGAUAUGAUUGUAACCUGAUAAUAUAAAAGGGUUUUGUUGUUGUUGUUUUUAAUUGUACUAAUGUAUUAUGUGUUGUUGGAGGAGAGGUUGUCCCUUCUGCAUGAUGUGACUGUGCUUUUUAAUCCACUGAAUGUAUUUUAAUCUAUUACAGUUUGCACUUUUCUCCAAAUGAGACUCUACCCCCUCCAAAAAAAAAAAAAAAAAUCAGACUGGUAUCUUUUGUUUUGGAACAAUAGAGUAUCAUGUUCAAGUAAGCAUAUAGUGAAAACAUGAUAUUUCUUCUGUGAAGAAUUACCUGGACAAGGGAGUUGAAUGUCUGCUUCCUAGUCAUUUGGCAUAAUCAAGUUUUCAUUGUUUUGUUCAAUUUCUCCAACUUGUUUGUAAUACACUGGCCUCAUAGUUUCUUACUCCCUUUUACAUUUUACUGCUAAGAAAACUAGUUAUAGAUGCUACUGAAAUGAGCAGCAUAUCUAAUUAGAGAAUUGGGUGUUCACUGUCAUUCUGGGUUAAUAAACCAUCCCAUUUAGCUCAACUGAAGAAAAUCCAUUUAAGCAGUCAUGGUGCCCGUUCUUCAGUUGAAGUAACAUAUACAUGGGCUCUCUUAGCAGGGAUCAGGCCAUGUCCAUCAAGAACAUGAAGUCCAAUGGAUGUGAUUUAAUUAUAAGCAUGUUUAGGGUUUUCAUUUUAUGAUCUUUUUAAUUUUCUCUCCACAGUAAAGUUUUUAGAGACAUUAUCUGGUAUGCUUGAAUUUUAGAAAGAACAAAAUUGCUUUUCCUUAUGUCUGUAAAAAUCAAAAGUGAAACAAAAGAUAUUUUGGUAGAGAUAGAAAUGAUGGAAAAUUUUUAAUAUUCUGUCUUACAGAAUUCACAUUCAGUCUUCUAAAGCUCUUCUAUAGCCCAACCAAAGGUACUAGGAUGGGUUCUCUCCUUCAGCAUAGUUUUUAGAAUAAAGUCUUAUCUAAGUGUAUCAAUUCUUUUGCAUAUUUUUGCUUAUCCUAGAAGAAAUCCCUCUUCUGAAGUUUCCAGACUACCUCUGUAAAUUGCUUUCCUUCAACCCACCCCUUUCUGGAGGUAUCCACUACCAUGUACUAUGGGAAUAAACUAGGGAAGGAAAAUUAGUCCACUUACUCAAUCUUUUACAGAAAUUAAAUUUGUUUCAGUGUCAGCAGUACUGUCAAACUUACUGGAAUGAAAAAACAAAUUUGAAGCAAAUGAAGAUUUUAGAUAUAUAAUAAGUAUAUUUUGCCCAACUCAGAAGUAGCUUCUUACUAUAGAACCAAUUUACUUUUUUAUGAUUUCCACAACUUUUAAAGUUCCAACUUUUCAUUUGAGUGAAGAAUGAAAAUCUGUGUAUUUAGUUGUAGAGCAUUUGUGCAAGCAUUUCUUUGCUUUCACAUUGUAUUAAUAGUGCCAGACCAAGAGUUAAUACCAGUGACUUAGAUUCAAAAUAUAUAUAAUCACAGAAGCUUAAAGUCCCAAUGUUUAUCAAAAUAUGUAAUGCCUUAUUUAGUAUUCCAAAGACUCAGUGCUGUCAAGCCAAGUGAUCUUCUUUUCUCUGUUUUCAUGGACAAGAGAACAUUUCACAACAGCUUGUUCAAUCACAUUUCUUUCACUUUCUCCCCAUGGGCUUCAGUAUGAUUAAGUCCCUUUUCUACAUUUAAUAAUCUACAAGCUAAAUUUUCAAAAACAAGGGACACCAGCUGUAUUGAAUAGCCAUAGGCUUACUUAAAUGCAAUAAAAGACAUAUUUCAAGCUUUCUAGAAAUAAAGAAAAGGCAUUUAGCCAAGUGAUAUAUGAUAGUAUCGGGCUACAUCAAAACUUGAGAUUUACUGACAUAAAAAAAUAGAAACUUCAUCAAAACAAUAUAAAGAAUCCAGGAUAUUUUACCAAGAGACAAAGGUUUUUAUUAAAGCUAUAGCUUCAAAAUAUUCUUAGCUAUUAAUAUUUAUAUUGUACCAUAGAUUCCCAAAGAGUCUCUUGAGUCCAUCUAUUUACCAGCAUACCAUAAUCAUUAGUGGGCUGUGUACAAUUCAUAGAAUUUAUUUAUGACCCGCUUAUGGGCACAGGGAUACCAACUUGAUUGGUAACUUAUAGGGAUAAUAACCCCCAAAUAAAGGUGUAGAAAACUUGAAUAUCCCAGAGUGGGUAUCUGUGAUCAUUGCAAAUUAAAAGACAGGUGGGUAGUUAUACAGAAAGUCAUAUAUUGGUUGGAUAGUAAGAUUAUAGGUUCCUGCCUUCUUGAUAGUGCCUCACAAAAGUUGGGACUAUUCUGUUAUUAGAGAACUUCAGAGGAAGAGGUCCAACAACUUCCCUUGGCAACCUAUCCUAUUGUUUAACAGCAGUCACUGUCAGGUAAUCCAGAUGUUUCACAUUGCGUUGUUAAAAAUAUUUGCUUACCCUUGUUCAGUGGAAAUGCUAAGAGUGGUCAUUUUCUGCAUAAUAGCCAUUCACAUUCAUAAACAUCAUUAUAAAGUUGUUCCUUUUCUUCCUCCGUGUACUUUUCCAUUCUUUCAAGUACCUUAUUCUCAGAUCUUUUAAUUACCUUUCUUUUCUGAAGCCUCUGUAAAUUCUUCACCUCAUUCUCAAACUAUGGAGCCUUAAAAAAGGGGGAAAUAUAGACCAAGGACAACUUCCAAAGAUACAGGAGUCUUUUCAGAUCUCUAAAGUCAUGUAAAAAUCCUCUAAAUGAAAACAGGGGAGUAACAGCAGCAACUUUGCUGCUUAUUUUGUAAUCUGUAAUGUCUUUCUUUCUACUUAUAACACAAAGAUCCAAAUCCAAUUUUUCUUAUAAAUCUAGUUUCUUUUCAAUGACAUCCAUCAAAAAAUCAAUGAUUGAUUGAAUUAAUUUGGUAGAUGUAGAGCUGGAAGUGACAAAGAUCAUCUCAUCCAACCCCCAUAUUUUACAGAUGAUGAAGAAAGGUCAAAUGUCUUGUCUAGGGUCCCAAAAGUAGUAAGUAGCAGAGCUGGAUAAUGAACUGGAGUCAAAAACCUAAUAUUUUGUUUAUUGUCUCCUUCCAAGACCUCUAAAUAUGCUUGGAUCCUCAUUUGGACUUCUUAAGUCCCUUCACUGUGCUUUUCACUGUUUUCUAUACUAAAAUCUUGCUUCUCCUACUCGGCUCAAAUCUUUCUUCUUUAUUUCAGCCUACCUACCUCCUACUUAACUCUUUCAGACCCUGCUUCAGAAAUUCCAUAAAGAUAAUUCGGUUACUUGUUUUAUAACUUUGAAUAUUUUUUCCCCUUAACUUGCAUAGAAGAGAUGUCUUCCUUAACAAAUGCAAAUGAGACUUUUUUAAAGGUGUGUUUCAGUGUCUGAUCUAGCUUUAAUCUAUCAAAAAUGUUUUUAACAUGAUUAAAUCUAUUGAACUAUUAAAACAACCAUGUUCAAUCAUUUGAGUAAAACUGCCUGGCCAAUAUUUUCUACUUCAAAACAAAAUAAAAACUUUGCAAAUAAUCAAAUUAACAUUCAUAUUUUCAUAUUUUUUCGACUUCAUGUUCAUUGUCUUUGUACCAUAGUGAUAGUUGCAAUAAAAUAUGAUAUGAAUAAAUCUUUUUUUUUUAUCAGUGGGCUGUUAAUGACUCACUUUGACAGUAAAUUUAAUUUAUGCAGUGACAUUUUCAAUUAUAUGUAAUUUUAUUUGCAUUCAUCUUUUAUGUAAGGAGAUUAAGCAAUAUCCUUCAUGAUUGGUUUUGUGAUCUUUGGGCUUUAUGGUAGAGGUCACUGAUAAGUCACCUCUUUAUUCUGCUUUGGUUAAGAUGCUAGUAAUGUGUUAGAAAUAGUAACUCAUAGUAACUCAUUCUUUAUUAUACAAAAAGGGACAUUUCUCCUGGCUCUCUGGGAGCAGAGAGGGAAGUCUGCUCCCACUCAUCAAAAACUAAGCAGAUGGAGUUGACAAAAUAUUUUCUAUCCUAGCUGGGAGAAAAUUGCUAUAUGCCAGGUAUUGGUUUGAUCAAAAAGGCAGUAACCUAUUAUGAAUGAAUAAAUGAAAGGAAGGAAGCAAGAAAGAAAGAUCCACGUAGCAGCAGUGUGAGAGGUUUGACAAACUGUUAAAAUAGUGAGCUCUGUUUAAUCUGCAUCUUAAUUUUGUCUUUAGAAAGGGCAGAGGGUGUGAGGACAGCAGUAGUUCUCUGGCAAUCUGAUUUCUAAAAUGAUACCCUUCUUCCCCUUGCUCCCACCAUGUAAAAAAGACAAACUGGAGGGACUUUGUGGCGAUUGUGUGACUUUUAGAAACAAACUUGUCAUGUAAAAAUCCUCUAAAGGAAAGCACAGGGGAGUAACAGCAACAUCUUAUAGUUUUAAAGCGUAAUCAAAUCAUAUUCUUUUAUUUGAUUCCAACAACAAUGUGAAAUAGUCAUGUAUCAUUAUCUUUUCAGUUUUACAAAUGAGAAAACUGAGGCCAAAAGAGUAGAAAACACUUUGCCAAAGAUCAUAUAAUUAGGAAGUAGUGGAACCCCAGGACUCCAGAGUAACCCAGGUUCAAGGAAAUUCUUGCUUUGCACAUGUCAUACCAUUAUAGUCGCAUUUUCUUCCAUAAAAUCCUGUUCCAGGGGUUCAUCAUGGCAUGGUGAUAAUCAAUGAUUUCUUGAAAGCUAUCCUGGGAUAGUAAAAAUUCUGGUAGAUUCUGCUUAGCUGGAAAAAGUUCAACUAUAGCCCUAGCAAUAGACUGCUUCCCAAAGUCCAGGCUAGCUCAUUAGGGGACAGCUGCUCACCAACAUGCUGGCCAGUUGGCAGUGACUUCUUUGGCCAUGAAAAAUAAUAACGUAAACUAGCCCUCAGUUGUCUGUGGACCCCUACUUCUUCUGUAGUAAUGACAUCAGGGAACAAGGCAGAAGGUGCUAAAAAUCAAUUUUUAUACUCUGUUAACAAUACCUUAGUUGUUGG
This is a long non-coding RNA of Sarcophilus harrisii (Tasmanian devil), 4907 nucleotides long. The record is from Ensembl. Lineage: Eukaryota; Metazoa; Chordata; Mammalia; Dasyuromorphia; Dasyuridae.